GAAAUGUGUGUCCAAGCAGCAAGUCUGAGAACGAGUGAAAUGCUUUUUCUCUCAAGGACAAGCUGUGAUGGGGAGCGAAAUUUAGUAGCGAAGUUCCUGAUGUCACACUGCCAAGAAAAGCUUCUAGUGAGAAAGUAACUGCCCGUACCGCAAACCGACACAGGUAGUUGAGGAGAGAAUCCUAAGGUGUGCGAGAGAACUCUCGUUAAGGAACUCGGCAAAAUGACCCCGUAACUUCGGGAGAAGGGGUGCUGACCGCAAGGUCAGCCGCAGUGAAUAGGCCCAAGCGACUGUUUAUCAAAAACACAGGUCUCUGCAAAAUCGAAAGAUGACGUAUAGGGGCUGACGCCUGCCCGGUGCUGGAAGGUUAAGAGGAGAGGUUAGCGCAAGCGAAGCUUUGAAUUGAAGCCCCAGUAAACGGCGGCCGUAACGAUAACGGUCCUAAGGUAGCGAAAUUCCUUGUCGGGUAAGUUCCGACCCGCACGAAAGGCGUAACGAUUUGGGCACUGUCUCAACGAGAGACUCGGUGAAAUUAUAGUACCAGUGAAGAUGCUGGUUACCCGCGACAGGACGGAAAGACCCCAUGGAGCUUUACUGCAGUUUGAUAUUGCGUGUUUGUAUCACAUGUACAGGAUAGGUAGGAGCCGAAGAUACCGGGACGCCAGUCUCGGAGGAGGCAACGGUGGGAUACUACCCUUGUGAUAUGACCACUCUAACCCGCUGCUCUUAGCGAGCAGGGAGACAGUGUCAGACGGGCAGUUUGACUGGGGCGGUCGCCUCCAAAAAUGUAACGGAGGCGCCCAAAGGUUCCCUCAGAAUGGUUGGAAAUCAUUCGUAGAGUGUAAAGGCAGAAGGGAGCUUGACUGCGAGACCUACAAGUCGAGCAGGGACGAAAGUCGGGCUUAGUGAUCCGGUGGUUCCGCAUGGAAGGGCCAUCGCUCAACGGAUAAAAGCUACCCUGGGGAUAACAGGCUUAUCUCCCCCAAGAGUUCACAUCGACGGGGAGGUUUGGCACCUCGAUGUCGGCCCAUCGCAUCCUGGGGCUGUAGUCGGUCCCAAGGGUUGGGCUGUUCGCCCAUUAAAGCGGUACGCGAGCUGGGUUCAGGACGUCGUGAGACAGUUCGGUCCCUAUCCGUCGCGGGCGUUGGAAAUUUGAGAGGAGCUGUCCUUAGUACGAGAGGACCGGGAUGGACACACCGCUGGUGUACCAGUUGUUCUGCCAAGAGCAUCGCUGGGUAGCUAUGUGUGGACGGGAUAAACGCUGAAAGCAUCUAAGCGUGAAGCCCCCCUCAAGAUGAGAUUUCCCAUCACUUUAAGUGAGUAAGACCCCUGAGAGAUGAUCAGGUAGAUAGGUUGGGAGUGGAAGUACAGCGAUGUAUGGAGCGGACCAAUACUAAUCGGUCGAGGACUUAACCU
RNAcentral lists this ribosomal RNA (1416 nucleotides) under metagenome. RNAcentral's name for it is "bacterial LSU rRNA". It matches the Rfam family "Bacterial large subunit ribosomal RNA", at positions 1501 to 2925 of the family's 2925-position model. The record is from RNAcentral.